GAUGAGUCACAUUUUUACCUGGGUAAC
This 27-nucleotide non-coding RNA is filed under the name Mus musculus (house mouse). Lineage: Eukaryota; Metazoa; Chordata; Mammalia; Rodentia; Muridae. The record is from RNAcentral.